AAAUUGAAGAGUUUGAUCAUGGCUCAGAUUGAACGCUGGCGGCAGGCCUAACACAUGCAAGUCGAACGGUAACAGGAAGCAGCUUGCUGCUUUGCUGACGAGUGGCGGACGGGUGAGUAAUGUCUGGGAAACUGCCUGAUGGAGGGGGAUAACUACUGGAAACGGUGGCUAAUACCGCAUAACGUCGCAAGACCAAAGAGGGGGACCUUCGGGCCUCUUGCCAUCAGAUGUGCCCAGAUGGGAUUAGCUUGUUGGUGAGGUAACGGCUCACCAAGGCGACGAUCCCUAGCUGGUCUGAGAGGAUGACCAGCCACACUGGAACUGAGACACGGUCCAGACUCCUACGGGAGGCAGCAGUGGGGAAUAUUGCACAAUGGGCGCAAGCCUGAUGCAGCCAUGCCGCGUGUAUGAAGAAGGCCUUCGGGUUGUAAAGUACUUUCAGCGGGGAGGAAGGUGUUGUGGUUAAUAACCGCAGCAAUUGACGUUACCCGCAGAAGAAGCACCGGCUAACUCCGUGCCAGCAGCCGCGGUAAUACGGAGGGUGCAAGCGUUAAUCGGAAUUACUGGGCGUAAAGCGCACGCAGGCGGUCUGUCAAGUCGGAUGUGAAAUCCCCGGGCUCAACCUGGGAACUGCAUUCGAAACUGGCAGGCUUGAGUCUUGUAGAGGGGGGUGGAAUUCCAGGUGUAGCGGUGAAAUGCGUAGAGAUCUGGAGGAAUACCGGUGGCGAAGGCGGCCCCCUGGACAAAGACUGACGCUCAGGUGCGAAAGCGUGGGGAGCAAACAGGAUUAGAUACCCUGGUAGUCCACGCCGUAAACGAUGUCUACUUGGAGGUUGUGCCCUUGAGGCGUGGCUUCCGGAGCUAACGCGUUAAGUAGACCGCCUGGGGAGUACGGCCGCAAGGUUAAAACUCAAAUGAAUUGACGGGGGCCCGCACAAGCGGUGGAGCAUGUGGUUUAAUUCGAUGCAACGCGAAGAACCUUACCUGGUCUUGACAUCCACAGAACUUUCCAGAGAUGGAUUGGUGCCUUCGGGAACUGUGAGACAGGUGCUGCAUGGCUGUCGUCAGCUCGUGUUGUGAAAUGUUGGGUUAAGUCCCGCAACGAGCGCAACCCUUAUCCUUUGUUGCCAGCGGUCCGGCCGGGAACUCAAAGGAGACUGCCAGUGAUAAACUGGAGGAAGGUGGGGAUGACGUCAAGUCAUCAUGGCCCUUACGACCAGGGCUACACACGUGCUACAAUGGCGCAUACAAAGAGAAGCGACCUCGCGAGAGCAAGCGGACCUCAUAAAGUGCGUCGUAGUCCGGAUUGGAGUCUGCAACUCGACUCCAUGAAGUCGGAAUCGCUAGUAAUCGUGGAUCAGAAUGCCACGGUGAAUACGUUCCCGGGCCUUGUACACACCGCCCGUCACACCAUGGGAGUGGGUUGCAAAAGAAGUAGGUAGCUUAACCUUCGGGAGGGCGCUUACCACUUUGUGAUUCAUGACUGGGGUGAAGUCGUAACAAGGUAACCGUAGGGGAACCUGCGG
Molecule: ribosomal RNA, 1526 nt
Filed under: Salmonella enterica subsp. enterica serovar Kambole
Lineage: Bacteria; Pseudomonadati; Pseudomonadota; Gammaproteobacteria; Enterobacterales; Enterobacteriaceae
Description: bacterial SSU rRNA
Rfam family: Bacterial small subunit ribosomal RNA
Source: RNAcentral